This 462-nucleotide ribosomal RNA is filed under the name Limnodromus scolopaceus. Its description in RNAcentral is "partial 12S ribosomal RNA". It matches the Rfam family "Bacterial small subunit ribosomal RNA", at positions 543 to 1226 of the family's 1533-position model. The record is from RNAcentral. Lineage: Eukaryota; Metazoa; Chordata; Aves; Charadriiformes; Scolopacidae.
UCCCGUAAACGGCGUAAAGAGUGGUAUUAUGUUAUCAUUACAACUAAGAUCAAAGUGCAACUAAGCUGUCAUAAGCUCAAGAUGUGCCUAAGACCCCCUUAAAGAUGAUCUUAGUACUUCUGAUUGAUUUAACUCCACGAAAGCUAAGGUACAAACUGGGAUUAGAUACCCCACUAUGCUUAGCCCUAAAUCUUGAUGNCUCGCCUGUACUAAAGCAUCCGCCUGAGAACUACGAGCACAAACGCUUAAAACUCUAAGGACUUGGCGGUGCCCUAAACCCACCUAGAGGAGCCUGUUCUGUAAUCGAUAACCCACGUUACACCCGACCACCCCUUGCCAGAAACAGCCUACAUACCGCCGUCGCCAGCUCACCUCCCCUGAGAGUUCAAUAGUGAGCACAAUAGCUCNAACCCGCUAACAAGACAGGUCGAGGUAUAGCCCACGGGGUGGAAGAAAUGGGCU